Molecule: ribosomal RNA, 429 nt
Filed under: Actinomycetes bacterium
Lineage: Bacteria; Bacillati; Actinomycetota; Actinomycetes
Description: Actinobacteria bacterium partial 16S ribosomal RNA
Rfam family: Bacterial small subunit ribosomal RNA
Source: RNAcentral
UAGGGAAUCUUCCGCAAUGGGCGAAAGCCUGACGGAGCAACGCCGCGUGAGUGAUGAAGGUCUUCGGAUCGUAAAACUCUGUUAUUAGGGAAGAACAAAUGUGUAAGUAACUAUGCACGUCUUGACGGUACCUAAACAGAAAGCCACGGCUAACUACGUGCCAGCAGCCGCGGUAAUACGUAGGUGGCAAGCGUUAUCCGGAAUUAUUGGGCGUAAAGCGCGCGUAGGCGGUUUUUUAAGUCUGAUGUGAAAGCCCACGGCUCAACCGUGGAGGGUCAUUGGAAACUGGAAAACUUGAGUGCAGAAGAGGAAAGUGGAAUUCCAUGUGUAGCGGUGAAAUGCGCAGAGAUAUGGAGGAACACCAGUGGCGAAGGCGACUUUCUGGUCUGUAACUGACGCUGAUGUGCGAAAGCGUGGGGAUCAAACAGG